UGUGUGGAGGUAGUGACAAUAAAUCACAAUGCGGAACAAUGUUUUGCAAUUGGAUUGAGAACAACGUACAAACCUUAUCGAUAAACAAUUGGAGGGCAAGUCUGGUGCCAGCAGCCGCGGUAAUUCCAGCUCCAAUAGCGUAUAUUAACGUUGUUGCAGUUAAAAAGCUCGUAGUUGAAAUGAAGGGUAGUUGUGUAAUGAAUACAUUCGUGUAUUUUGUUAUUCUACUACCCUCCUUCUAAAUUCGAUAUAUGAGUAUUAAUUUACUUGUAUAUGGUUUUAGACAUUUACUGUGAGAAAAUUAGAGUGUUCAAAGCAGGCAUUUGCUUGAAUAUAUUAGCAUGGAAUAAUCAUGUAUGAUUUUCAUGAUGUAUUUGAUUGGUUUGGUUGAUGAGAAUAAGAUUAAAAGGGACAGUUGGGGGUAUUCAUAUUCAAUAGUCAGAGGUGAAAUUCUCGGAUUUAUGGAAGAUGAACAAGUGCGAAAGCAAC
Molecule: ribosomal RNA, 489 nt
Filed under: Blastocystis sp. subtype 3
Lineage: Eukaryota; Bigyra; Opalinata; Blastocystidae
Description: bacterial SSU rRNA
Rfam family: Eukaryotic small subunit ribosomal RNA
Source: RNAcentral